CAGUGAUUCUGUUUUUGCAACUUCUGAGCUAUUAUUAACUGGUGAACAGCUGCCCACAUUCCCAGUUGGAGCCUGAUUAGCAUUUGAAGCAGGAGCAUUAUACCUGCAUGUGAAGAGAUUCAAUUAGCAACUGUAGUUUCUUCAGGAUAUUGAGUUUUAGUAACAGUUGAAUCACAUGCCUAGAGAAUGCUGAAAGGUCUGAAUGCCUGAGUAUAUUGCGCUCUUGCACACUGGUCCCAAUUUCUCCAACAUCUCGAAGCUGCUUCAAACUAAGUUCAAGAGAAGGCAUGCCUUUACUGUCAUAGGUGGCUAU
Molecule: long non-coding RNA, 313 nt
Filed under: Nicotiana tabacum (common tobacco)
Lineage: Eukaryota; Viridiplantae; Streptophyta; Magnoliopsida; Solanales; Solanaceae
Description: long non-coding RNA (NTAB_LNC009672)
Source: RNAcentral